GAUGAGAGGACAGGUUAGUCUCAGAAGAUUAUGGCUUUCAAAUACAGAUAGAAAUGGAACAGAAAAAGAGCCCUGUUCAGACGGUUUCAAACUGUAUCCUCGUCUCCAUUUCUUUAAACAGAUCACUGAUUUAACAUGGUAAAAUAGAUAUAGUGGGAACAUAGGAAUGAGGGAGGAACAAAAGCUGUACUGUAAAAGUAAAGAGCUGUCACAAGAGGGCAGCACAGUCAAGUCAAUGGGAGCUUAUGUUCCAAACAUCGUACUCCUCUGGUGUGCAUCGAGGCACUAAUGUGUUCUACAGCCCUGUUUCCCCUAGGUAAUGUGUUCUACAGCCCUGUUUCCCCUAGGUAAUGUGUUCUACAGCCCUGUUUCCCCUAGGUCAUGUGUUCUACAGCCCUGUUUCCCCUAGGUCAUGUGUUCUACAGCCCUGUUUCCCCUAGGUAAUGUGUUCUACAGCCCUGUUUCCCCUAGGUAAUGUGUUCUACAGCCCUGUUUCCCCUAGGUAAUGUGUUCUACAGCCCUGUUUCCCCUAGGUAAUGUGUUCUACAGCCCUGUUUCCCCUAGGUAAUGUGUUCUACAGCCCUGUUUCCCCUAGGUAAUGUGUUCUACAGCCCUGUUUCCCCUAGGUAAUGUGUUCUACAGCCCUGUUUCCCCUAGGUAAUGUGUUCUACAGCCCUGUUUCCCCUAGGUAAUGUGUUCUACAGCCCUGUUUCCCCUAUGUCAUGUGUUCUACAGCCCUGUUUCCCCUAGGUAAUGUGUUCUACAGCCCUGUUUCCCCUAGGUCAUGUGUUCUACAGCCCUGUUUCCCCUAGGUAAUGUGUUCUACAGCCCUGUUUCCCCUAGGUAAUGUGUUCUACAGCCCUGUUUCCCCUAGGUAAUGUGUUCUACAGCCCUGUUUCCCCUAGGUAAUGUGUUCUACAGCCCUGUUUCCCCUAGGUAAUGUGUUCUACAGCCCUGUUUCCCCUAGGUAAUGUGUUCUACAGCCCUGUUUCCCCUAGGUAAUGUGUUCUACAGCCCUGUUUCCCCUAGGUAAUGUGUUCUACAGCCCUGUUUCCCCUAGGUAAUGUGUUCUACAGCCCUGUUUCCCCUAGGUAAUGUGUUCUACAGCCCUGUUUCCCCUAGGGCAUGUGUUCAACAGCCCUGUUUCCCCUAGGUAAUGUGUUCUACAGCCCUGUUUCCCCUAGGUAAUGUGUUCUACAGCCCUGUUUCCCCUAGGUAAUGUGUUCUACAGUCCUGUUUCCCCUAGGUAAUGUGUUCUACAGUCCUGUUUCCCCUAGGUAAUGUGUUCUACAGCCCUGUUUCCCCUAGGUAAUGUGUUCUACAGCCCUGUUUCCCCUAGGUAAUGUGUUCUACAGCCCUGUUUCCCCUAGGUAAUGUGUUCUACAGCCCUGUUUCCCCUAGGUAAUGUGUUCUACAGCCCUGUUUCCCCUAGGUAAUGUGUUCUACAGCCCUGUUUCCCCUAGGUAAUGUGUUCUACAGUCCUGUUUCCCCUAUGUCAUGUGUUCUACAGUCCUGUUUCCCCUAUGUCAUGUGUUCUACAGUCCUGUUUCCCCUAUGUCAUGUGUUCUACAGUCCUGUUUCCCCUAUGUCAUGUGUUCUACAGUCCUGUUUCCCCUAUGUCAUGUGUUCUACAGUCCUGUUUCCCCUAUGUCAUGUGUUCUACGGCCCUGUUUCCCCUAUGUCAUGUGUU
This is a long non-coding RNA of Oncorhynchus keta (chum salmon), 1690 nucleotides long. RefSeq lists it as uncharacterized. The record is from RefSeq and is a predicted model, not a curated record. Lineage: Eukaryota; Metazoa; Chordata; Actinopteri; Salmoniformes; Salmonidae. The transcript has 4 exons.